AAAGUGAUAGUGUGCAGCCAAGGAUGACUUGCCGAUUCCCUCUUUGUAUUGUUUUUCAGUACAAUUUUAUGCAAUCGGCAAGUUGUUCUUGGCUACAUGCUUCUUUCU
This is a non-coding RNA of Corchorus olitorius, 108 nucleotides long. NCBI's taxonomy places the organism in Eukaryota, Viridiplantae, Streptophyta, Magnoliopsida, Malvales, Malvaceae. The record is from Rfam.